GUCUGUGUCUGUCUGUGUGAUGCUUUGGCCGGGGACAGAACAGGAAUGGAGUCUUAGAAUUUAGUAUUUUACAAACACUAACUGAGUCCCACAAAACCCGUGUGUGGUAGAGAAGGUGUAUAUAUACCUACCCCUGAAAUGCCAGCUCAUCUGGGAGGAAGCAUAGCCCAUGUGAAAAUGAAUAGCACUAGUACACAAAUAUUGGACAAAGUAAAGAAAAAUACCAUAAAUAACUGAAACUGCAGGAGGAAUUUAAGAUGAAAUAUCAGACUGCAGAGGAUGAAGCCAAGAGAGUAGAAACAAGAGAACACAAAUAAACAUCAAUUUAAAUGAAAAAGAAAAGA
Chelonia mydas (Green sea turtle) is the source of this 344-nucleotide long non-coding RNA. RefSeq lists it as uncharacterized. The record is from RefSeq and is a predicted model, not a curated record. NCBI's taxonomy places the organism in Eukaryota, Metazoa, Chordata, Testudines, Cheloniidae. The transcript has 3 exons.